Molecule: long non-coding RNA, 208 nt
Filed under: Fukomys damarensis (Damara mole-rat)
Lineage: Eukaryota; Metazoa; Chordata; Mammalia; Rodentia; Bathyergidae
Description: lncRNA (ENSFDAG00000031857.1)
Source: RNAcentral
GCAGUGGCUGUGUGGAGAGAGGUCUGGGCCCCGGGAAGCCUGGGAUUGAACUCAGGACCUUGUGUUUUGGGAGGCAGCAGAACCACUGAGCUACAUCCCCGGCCCACAGUGUCUUUUCUGUUACGGUAACUGAACACUGCAGACUGGCAGACUGAGAACAGAAGUUUAUUUUGAUCAUGGUUCUGGAUCCUGGGAGUCCAAGAGCACA